CAGCCGCCGCGGUAAUACGUAGGGUGCAAGCGUUAAUCGGAAUUACUGGGCGUAAAGCGUGCGCAGGCGGUUCGGAAAGAAAGAUGUGAAAUCCCAGAGCUUAACUUUGGAACUGCAUUUUUAACUACCGGGCUAGAGGGUGGCAGAGGGAGGUGGAAUUCCGCGUGUAGCAGUGAAAUGCGUAGAUAUGCGGAGGAACACCGAUGGCGAAGGCAGCCUCCUGGGAUGACACUGACGCUCAUGCACGAAAGCGUGGGGAGCAAACAGGAUUAGAUACCCUGGUAGUCCACGCCCUAAACGAUGUCAACUAGCUGUUGGGGCCUUAGGGCCUUGGUAGCGCAGCUAACGCGUGAAGUUGACCGCCUGGGGAGUACGGUCGCAAGAUUAAAACUUAAAGGAAUUGGCGGG
Molecule: ribosomal RNA, 408 nt
Filed under: uncultured microorganism
Description: bacterial SSU rRNA
Rfam family: Bacterial small subunit ribosomal RNA
Source: RNAcentral